RNAcentral lists this ribosomal RNA (505 nucleotides) under uncultured bacterium. RNAcentral's name for it is "partial 16S ribosomal RNA". It matches the Rfam family "Bacterial small subunit ribosomal RNA", at positions 29 to 523 of the family's 1533-position model. The record is from RNAcentral.
AGUGAACGCUGGCGGUAGGCCUAACACAUGCAAGUCGAACGGCAGCACAGGAGAGCUUGCUCUCUGGGUGGCGAGUGGCGGACGGGUGAGGAAUACAUCGGAAUCUACUUUUUCGUGGGGAUAACGUAGGGAAACUUACGCUAAUACCGCAUACGACCUACGGGUGAAAGCAGGGGACCUUCGGGCCUUGCGCGAUUGAAUGAGCCGAUGUCGGAUUAGCUAGUUGGCGGGGUAAAGGCCCACCAAGGCGACGAUCCGUAGCUGGUCUGAGAGGAUGAUCAGACACACUGGAACUGAGACACGGUCCAGACGCCUACGGGAGGCAGCAGUGGGGAAUAUUGGACAAUGGGCGCAAGCCUGAUCCAGCCAUACCGCGUGGGUGAAGAAGGCCUUCGGGUUGUAAAGCCCUUUUGUUGGGAAAGAAAUCCAGCUGGCUAAUACCCGGUUGGGAUGACGGUACCCAAAGAAUAAGCACCGGCUAACUUCGUGCCAGCCGCCGCCGUAA